UCGUCACACUAUCAUUAACUGAAUCCAUAGGUUAAUGAGGCGAACCGGGGGAACUGAAACAUCUAAGUACCCCGAGGAAAAGAAAUCAACCGAGAUUCCCCCAGUAGCGGCGAGCGAACGGGGAGGAGCCCAGAGCCUGAAUCAGCAUGUGUGUUAGUGGAAGCGUCUGGAAAGGCGCGCGAUACAGGGUGACAGCCCCGUACACAAAAGCGUAUGUGCUGUGAGCUCGAUGAGUAGGGCGGGACACGUGGUAUCCUGUCUGAAUAUGGGGGGACCAUCCUCCAAGGCUAAAUACUCCUGACUGACCGAUAGUGAACCAGUACCGUGAGGGAAAGGCGAAAAGAACCCCGGCGAGGGGAGUGAAAAAGAACCUGAAACCGUGUACGUACAAGCAGUGGGAGCCCCACCACUAAGCCAGUGGUGAACUCCACAUACGCAUCCUUUGCUGAGGAUACGGUUAACGGAGCGAAAGCGACGUUCAACCGCAAAAGAAGCAGAGGGGGCUUAGUGGUGGGGUGACUGCGUACCUUUUGUAUAAUGGGUCAGCGACUUAUAUUCUGUAGCAAGGUUAACCGAAUAGGGGAGCCGGAGGGAAACCGAGUCUUAACCGGGCGUUAAGUUGCAGGGUAUAGACCCGAAACCCGGUGAUCUAGCCAUGGGCAGGUUGAAGGUUGGGUAACACUAACUGGAGGACCGAACCGACUAAUGUUGAAAAAUUAGCGGAUGACCUGUGGCUGGGGGUGAAAGGCCAAUCAAACCGGGAGAUAGCUGGUUCUCCCCGAAAGCUAUUUAGGUAGCGCCUCGUGAAUUCAUCUCCGGGGGUAGAGCACUGUUUCGGCUAGGGGGCCAUCCCGGCUUACCAACCCGAUGCAAACUGCGAAUACCGGAGAAUGUUAUCACGGGAGACACACGGCGGGUGCUAACGUCCGUCGUGAAGAGGGAAACAACCCAGACCGCCAGCUAAGGUCCCAAAGUCAUGGUUAAGUGGGAAACGAUGUGGGAAGGCCCAGACAGCCAGGAUGUUGGCUUAGAAGCAGCCAUCAUUUAAAGAAAGCGUAAUAGCUCACUGGUCGAGUCGGCCUGCGCGGAAGAUGUAACGGGGCUAAACCAUGCACCGAAGCUGCGGCAGCGAACGUAUCACUUAAAGCGAUUCAGCGGGUUACGAUUGACGGAGCGAAGCGACGUCAAAGCGUAUACAAAGUCGAGUCGGUUUAAGGAUACGUUCGUUGGGUAGGGGAGCGUUCUGUAAGCCUGUGAAGGUGGCCUGUGAGGGUUGCUGGAGGUAUCAGAAGUGCGAAUGCUGACAUAAGUAACGAUAAAGCGGGUGAAAAGCCCGCUCGCCGGAAGACCAAGGGUUCCUGUCCAACGUUAAUCGGGGCAGGGUGAGUCGACCCCUAAGGCGAGGCCGAAAGGCGUAGUCGAUGGGAAACGGGUUAAUAUUCCCGU
This 1446-nucleotide ribosomal RNA is filed under the name Salmonella enterica subsp. enterica serovar Dublin. RNAcentral's name for it is "partial 23S ribosomal RNA". It matches the Rfam family "Bacterial large subunit ribosomal RNA", at positions 140 to 1442 of the family's 2925-position model. The record is from RNAcentral. Lineage: Bacteria; Pseudomonadati; Pseudomonadota; Gammaproteobacteria; Enterobacterales; Enterobacteriaceae.